UGGGGAAUAUUGGACAAUGGGCGAAAGCCUGAUCCAGCAAUGCCGCGUGAGUGAUGAAGGCCUUAGGGUUGUAAAGCUCUUUUACCAGGGAUGAUAAUGACAGUACCUGGAGAAUAAGCUCCGGCUAACUCCGUGCCAGCAGCCGCGGUAAUACGGAGGGAGCUAGCGUUGUUCGGAAUUACUGGGCGUAAAGCGUACGUAGGCGGUGACUCAAGUCAGAGGUGAAAGCCUGGAGCUCAACUCCAGAACUGCCUUUGAAACUAGGUCGCUAGAAUCACGGAGAGGUGAGUGGAAUUCCGAGUGUAGAGGUGAAAUUCGUAGAUAUUCGGAAGAACACCAGUGGCGAAGGCGGCUCACUGGACGUGUAUUGACGCUGAGGUACGAAAGCGUGGGGAGCAAACAGGAUUAGAUACCCAUGUAGUCCCUGAGCGGGCUGGCAAGGCG
RNAcentral lists this ribosomal RNA (444 nucleotides) under uncultured bacterium. Its description in RNAcentral is "bacterial SSU rRNA". It matches the Rfam family "Bacterial small subunit ribosomal RNA", at positions 355 to 822 of the family's 1533-position model. The record is from RNAcentral.